UCCGCUGUGCAUAUAUGUAUUCCAUCAUGUGAAAAUUUAGGGAAGGGAAAAUACAGACUUCCAAAAAUUCUAUGCAAUGGUUGUACAAACAAAGUAAUAGUUUCUUGUGCCUGCAUGCAAAUUUUACUACAUAGUCUCUUUAUAUAUAUUAAAAUUCUUAGCUAGAUCAAGUCAAACCUGGUAAAUAAUUUUUCUUGUACCAUUUAACUACACUGUAUGAUAAUUAGAAAAUGUAGCAUAACAAACUAAUUCUACAGUCUACUUACCCCUUUGAGUCCAGCCUCGUCAUAAUUAGUUCUCUUGAUCCUUCUACCUUGAUCCAUCUCUCCCAUGUUUACUAGAGAUACGAAAUUAAGAAUGAAGAUAAUGAAACUCGAAUCCCAAAAGAUAUAAUCAGAUAAGUUUUUCAAAGAGUCAACCAUCAUACUAAUAUACGCUGCCUUAACAAAACAAAGGAAAAAAAGAAUAACAUCAUAAUUAUUUGGAAAAUGGAUUCUUUUAAUGGAAUGUCCCCCAACAAAAACAACAUUUAGCUAAAAUAAAUAGACACAUUAAUAACAAGUGCUAAAGUCUUUACCGGAUUAGUUAAGUUUCAUUCUAUCCAAUGUCCCUAAAGACUUUAGGACAUAUACACAGAGUGAUAUUUUCCGCUAAAAAUACUUAUUUAGAGGAAAUUAAUUAUAUUUAGAGACAUAUACAAAAACUGUUAUUUGCUGCUAAAAAUGCAUAAUUAGUGGCAAGUGCUUAUUAAUUGCCGCUAAUGCUGAUUUUUGAUGCAAUGCCCCAUUUGGUUCUUAGAGGCAGAGUAAUAAAAAAUUUAACAGAUAUAAGAUUCACCAGGAAGAAAUAUGAACGCAUUAUUGUCUCCAGAUUGAUAUACCCGCCUCGACAUUUUCAGCAUUAUAUAAGGAUCACCCAAAAGAAAAUCAAGAAACCUAUCGUAGUAUCACUUAUUGAAACUUUAUGAAGAGGUUAAAUACAGAAUAUGUUAAAUAUUAAAGAGCUCAGAAAAUAAAUAGCAUAUUUGUUGCUGGUAAAACAAAAACAGCGACAACCCUGAUUUCUUCCAAAGAAAAUAUCAAAAUGUACGCAUGUAAUGUAACAUCACUUGAAGACUACAAUUCAAAUCAGUUUUUAAAAGAAUUUCGAUUAUACCAGUUUCUGUUAUAUGUUAUUAUUGGUUAAUAUGUGCACAUAGAGAAUUUUAUAACAAAGAGAGAUUAGUGGAGAUGAUAGAUUGAGUAAUUUAGAAGGUACUUGGACAACUCAAAAAUGACAUAGAAAUAUGACCAUAAUACAGUCUUCCAAAAAGAAAAAAUAAUUACUUUUUACACAAAAAUAGAUUAAGAAAGAAAAUCAGAAGCUACAAAUUUACUAUUGAUCAAUAAGUUAGUGUUGAUUUUUUGAAUGUUUUAGAUGAUGAACAGUAUUAGAUUCAGAAAUAGAAUUGUAAAUGGGGUUGGUGUAUUAUCUAUGUUUUCAAUACUACCAUGAAGGAGCAGAAGUAACCUGAGAGACAGUGGAGUAUUGAAGUACAAAUACCAUAUCCACAGUGAUAGUCCUAAAUGAACAAGCUAGAUAAAGCUCUUCCCGGUUGGCAAAGUUGGUGUAUGGCAUCUCUCUGAUUUUUCUAUAGUUAUUGAUUGUAGUACUAGUCCUUCUCUUGCUCACUUAUAUAUAAGGGUAAAUAUUACUGCGAGUUGACUCUAAAUAUUCCUUUAACAUCUGAAAAAUGAAUGACAACAAUAUAUAUUGAAUAAUUUAAACAUAGAGAAUCGACAUAUUUGAAAAACAUUAUCAACCCGUUGAAACAACACUUCUAAAAAAUUUAGAAGUUAGUGAACAAAUUUUAAUUUAAAGUAAAAUGAAGCCUAAGAGUGAAAGCUGAUGUUUCAUGUUCACCGGAGUUACUAUGAACCCCAAAAACAAAAGUCCACUAUAAUAAAGUUCAGAUUUGCAUAAAGCUUGUAAUGAGUGGGAUAUUCUCUGCCAUGAUCGUAAGGUUUUUUCUCAAAAUAUCUUACACUAAUAAGAGAUUCUACACCUUAUAUGUAGUUUCCAAAAUUUUCUUCAAAGGUAUAUAGCUCUCUGGAUUGACUCCUAUAAUGUGUCAAUACUGCAAUAAUGAACACAAAAAGAUACUUAUUAUGUGGCUCUUAGUAAACAUAACUAAUUCAGAAUUGCCCUCAAUAUCUUAAUCCCUAGUCUAUAUUUUCCCAUUUGCAAGCAUGUAACCGAAGAACAAAUGAGUUUUUUUAAUGUUUCCAUAGAUAUCUAGUAAAAUUAUUAUUUAAGUAUAUUAAGUGAUGUCCUGUCUAGAGUAAUUAUGAAUACAUAUUGAACAGAGAUGUUCAGCGCCGCGUGAUCCUCAAGUGCAUAUCAUUCAUGGAACAAUGAUAAUGCAGUAAUUUCAUUGUUCAUGGCUCAUAUCUCCUUCUCUCACUCACCUUGUCUAUGUUUUUAAAUAUAUGAAAUCAACAUCGUUUAUCUUUUUUUAAAGCUGCAGUGAUUGGUAUCCAAAGAAAUGACCAUUUAGCUCCAUUUUUGAAUGACCAUCACUAGACAUCUCUUAAGAUUUGUUUCUCUUAUGAUAAUAGUCACCCCACAUUAAAAAAAUCAUGCAAAUAUAAAUUUUGUAAGGAAUUUCUAAAAUAAAUAAAAGUAUAACGCAAAAAAAAGCUUGAGAACGUGGUUGUGGAUAUUCAAUAACAAUGAAAACACUACUAAUAUAUUGGAAGUUCAAAGUCUAAAAAAUAAUUAUUUUGCACUACUGAAAAAUAUAAAAAGAGUAUAUAAUCACUAUAAAUAUAUUCCCGUUCAAUCAUAUAUUUCCGACCAUUUAACACUUAUACUCAGCAACAAAAGCCAAAAAAAAAUCAUAACUGACCUAGAAUCUUCAUAAUUAACAUGAGAGUAUGUUGUAGAAUGGGCACGAAUCAGUUGCACAGAGUUUUUGACAUCGAUUCCGUUUUCCCUAGCUUUGUGAGGGUGAAAUUUGCCAAGAAUCUGUAAGAUUUCACCAUCCUCACACUUGAAAUCUCCUUCUCCUACCUUUCAAAACUUCGAGCAGCUUUUCUGAGAUUUCUACGGUGUUUAACAACUUUUAGGUAUUUUAGGAAGAUGGAGAAAAUAGGAUUUCUCGUAAUAUAUGUUCUUUCGCGCCUAUCCCACCCUAGCACCAACUUAUCCCGCCCUGGCGUUGCAGCCCUAGCAGCAUCUGACCUGCUAUGGCGGGACAAUGGCCCCGAUUUUUCCUAUAUUUUCGUUUCUUCUAAAUAUCGACGGUUUAGGUCGUUACAUAAAUUAAGGUAAAACAUAAAUAAAAGGGUUCUCUGCAGGUUUAAAACAAUAUAAUGAGAUGUUAAACAUUUUAGUACUUACAUUAAUCGAGCCCCCUAUUCUUCUUGCUACUUAGGUCUCUGAUCAGAAUCUGUUCAAGAUAGGUGUCUUACAGUGUUGAUAGAGUACUUCUAGGCUCAAUUGUCAUUGACAAAAACUAUAUCUAACCUUAUCCAGAUCUUUUACAAUGUCUCCG
RNAcentral lists this long non-coding RNA (3535 nucleotides) under Solanum lycopersicum (tomato). Its description in RNAcentral is "long non-coding RNA (SLYC_LNC001324)". The record is from RNAcentral. Lineage: Eukaryota; Viridiplantae; Streptophyta; Magnoliopsida; Solanales; Solanaceae.